This is a long non-coding RNA of Dama dama (fallow deer), 549 nucleotides long. RefSeq lists it as uncharacterized. The transcript is spliced from 4 exons. Lineage: Eukaryota; Metazoa; Chordata; Mammalia; Artiodactyla; Cervidae. The record is from RefSeq and is a predicted model, not a curated record.
CUCUACAUGGUGCCAAGCUCUAAUAAUGUGGCAAGGACGCUGUGGGAAACAAGACUUAGUCACAGACCAUGGUGCCUAAAAAUCAAUGACACAUCCUCUGAGAGAGCAGGAGAUACAUAAAUGGAAACCAUGAGUCAAGCUGCCCAGUCUUCCCAGUCCCAGUGGCUGCACACCAACUCCGGUGGGUGAAGCCAGGAUCACACUGGCUCUGGGGCAUUUUAUCCUUAUUGCCUCAGAAGUGGAGACACAGAAGCGGGGGUCAUUUUUGACAUUAGUCUCAAAAGCUUGGGCACUUCUGAACCAGAGUAAAAAUGGAAUAUGGCAUACACUUCUACCUGCCCAGAGUACAUCAUGAGAAACGCUGGGCUGGAGGAAGCACAAGCUGGAAUCAAGAUUUCUGGGAGAAAUAUCAAUAACCUCAGAUAUGCAGAUGAUACCACCCUUAUGGCAGAAAGUGAAGAAGAAUUAAAGAGUCUCUUGAUGAAAGUGAAAGAAGAGAGUGAAAAAGUUGACUUAAAGAUCAACAUUCAGAAAACUAAGGUCAUGACA